GACGAACGCUGGCGGCGUGCCUAAUACAUGCAAGUCGAGCGGACAGAAGGGAGCUUGCUCCCGGAUGUUAGCGGCGGACGGGUGAGUAACACGUGGGUAACCUGCCUGUAAGACUGGGAUAACUCCGGGAAACCGGAGCUAAUACCGGAUAGUUCCUUGAACCGCAUGGUUCAAGGAUGAAAGACGGUUUCGGCUGUCACUUACAGAUGGACCCGCGGCGCAUUAGCUAGUUGGUGAGGUAACGGCUCACCAAGGCGACGAUGCGUAGCCGACCUGAGAGGGUGAUCGGCCACACUGGGACUGAGACACGGCCCAGACUCCUACGGGAGGCAGCAGUAGGGAAUCUUCCGCAAUGGACGAAAGUCUGACGGAGCAACGCCGCGUGAGUGAUGAAGGUUUUCGGAUCGUAAAGCUCUGUUGUUAGGGAAGAACAAGUGCAAGAGUAACUGCUUGCACCUUGACGGUACCUAACCAGAGAGCCACGGCUAACUACGUGCCAGCAGCCGCGGUAAUACGUAGGUGGCAAGCGUUGUCCGGAAUUAUUGGGCGUAAAGGGCUCGCAGGCGGUUUCUUAAGUCUGAUGUGAAAGCCCCCGGCUCAACCGGGGAGGGUCAUUGGAAACUGGGAAACUUGAGUGCAGAAGAGGAGAGUGGAAUUCCACGUGUAGCGGUGAAAUGCGUAGAGAUGUGGAGGAACACCAGUGGCGAAGG
Molecule: ribosomal RNA, 710 nt
Filed under: uncultured Bacilli bacterium
Lineage: Bacteria; Bacillati; Bacillota; Bacilli
Description: bacterial SSU rRNA
Rfam family: Bacterial small subunit ribosomal RNA
Source: RNAcentral